RNAcentral lists this ribosomal RNA (466 nucleotides) under Micrococcus sp. RNAcentral's name for it is "bacterial SSU rRNA". It matches the Rfam family "Bacterial small subunit ribosomal RNA", at positions 389 to 865 of the family's 1533-position model. The record is from RNAcentral. Lineage: Bacteria; Bacillati; Actinomycetota; Actinomycetes; Micrococcales; Micrococcaceae.
CAGCGACGCCGCGUGAGGGAUGACGGCCUUCGGGUUGUAAACCUCUUUCAGUAGGGAAGAAGCGAAAGUGACGGUACCUGCAGAAGAAGCACCGGCUAACUACGUGCCAGCAGCCGCGGUAAUACGUAGGGUGCGAGCGUUAUCCGGAAUUAUUGGGCGUAAAGAGCUCGUAGGCGGUUUGUCGCGUCUGUCGUGAAAGUCCGGGGCUUAACCCCGGAUCUGCGGUGGGUACGGGCAGACUAGAGUGCAGUAGGGGAGACUGGAAUUCCUGGUGUAGCGGUGGAAUGCGCAGAUAUCAGGAGGAACACCGAUGGCGAAGGCAGGUCUCUGGGCUGUAACUGACGCUGAGGAGCGAAAGCAUGGGGAGCGAACAGGAUUAGAUACCCUGGUAGUCCAUGCCGUAAACGUUGGGCACUAGGUGUGGGGACCAUUCCACGGUUUCCGCGCCGCAGCUAACGCAUUAAGU